CUCGUCGGCUUAGCUGCGACGGCGGUCGAUUUAACCGCGACAUGGCAUGGCUCGGCACGGAACACGGCGUGGCUCGACGUGACGGCGCGGCGCGGCGCGGUGCGGCGCGGCGCGCUCUCGCAAAAAGCUUCGGAGCACCUUUCCCUCUUUUCUCCACUUCGCCGCUUCGCCCGGCUACCGUCAUCUUCGCUCGGUCGUCUCCUCCCUCUUCCUCCUUUUUCUUAGUCCGUCUCGUCGUCGGAGAGCUCUUGUGGGUCUUCGCCGCGGGACAAAAUAGCCUCUCGCCUUUCUCGGCCGCUUUUGCCCCGCGGCUGCGUCUUCACCGCGUGUCUUCGUCCUUCUUUCUCUCUCUCGUACCCUCCUCCUGCUUCUCAUCAUCAUUGCUUGGUUUCGCGCUUUCCGAGAGCGACCGACCGACCGACCGACCGACCGCCCGGCGUCUGCGAGAAUAAUGGGUUUGACGUUCGUGAGUAGCACAAGUCGAAUCUUAUUUCUGAAAAUUCAGAUGUGCCAUUUGAAGAGGAAGAGAUGAAAAAUGAUUAUUAUAAAAAAUUCUUCAUUACUUACUAUUAUAAAGUGCUGAAACAUGUUCCACGAAACUAUACGUAUCUAUAUGGUUCGAUGUGCGCGUACGAUCAGGAUUCUCUAAAGGGGAUGGGAUGGGCAAAAUGGUAGGAGAGAAAUACAUGCGAGAUACGCGGAAUCAAGGUGAAAGGAAGGAGGAAGUCUAUGAGAGGAGAGGCAAGGCACUUUUUGGUCGAGUUCGACGUGACCGGAGUAUCAAAGUCGUCGAGCGCUCGAACGCGGCUUGAUUUCUCGAACGCAACUUUGCGAUGCAAUCAUACUGACGAGAGAUUCUCUCGUACGAAGAGGAAAAUUCAGAAAUGGACAAUUCGAAACGCAAAUCGAUAAAUUAAUUAAUUGUGGUCGCGCAGAUUAAAUCCAAAGACUUUUUCUCCUAAAGAUACAUAUAAUGUAUAACAAUUAAGUCACGCCCUAUCUUUAGAGAAUGAAUUUACGAAGUUAAAACAAAUCGAAAAUAAAGAAUAAUGAAAUUGCGUUUAAGUCUUCUUUAAAAAGUCACAAUCAAAAUAAUGCGUUUUAAAUCUAGAAAUUUUAUCAUGUAUAAACAAUAAUAAU
This is a long non-coding RNA of Nylanderia fulva, 1140 nucleotides long. RefSeq lists it as uncharacterized. Lineage: Eukaryota; Metazoa; Arthropoda; Insecta; Hymenoptera; Formicidae. The record is from RefSeq and is a predicted model, not a curated record.